Molecule: long non-coding RNA, 557 nt
Organism: Falco peregrinus (peregrine falcon)
Lineage: Eukaryota; Metazoa; Chordata; Aves; Falconiformes; Falconidae
Exons: 3
Source: RefSeq, a predicted model, not a curated record
GAGAAACAAAGAUGGGGAAGGUGCAAGCAGGGGAAAAUGUGGGUUGCGGCAGAGGGAAGGAGACCGAUAAGGAGAACAGAACCAGAUGGUGAAACAAGAGGAGCAGAGCUAGGAGAAGACGAGAAGAAAGAAAAACAGUGAGGAAGAAAGAAAAUAGUCAUCAAGAGAAGGGAGGAAGAGAAGAUCCUCACAUCAGAAGGCAAGGGCAGCCUGAGCUAAACAGCUGGCUGGAUUUGCAUGAAAAUGGACUGCCCUUUUUCAUUUGUUUGUUCUUUGGAAAUUACAGUAGGCCUCAAAUGGAAGGAGCAGCCCAGCCUCGGGUUUUGGUGGACGCAGUUUUAUUGACUUCAGUAAAAGGACAAGCUGGUAUGAGACACCUGCGGGCUUCAGUCUCCGUGUCAGCUUCUUCUCUAAGUUCUCAGCCCCCCGAGUCAGCAAGCAAUACAAUUUUUAAACCCACGCAUGCCAUCUUAUAAACAUUAUUUAUCUUUUUUUCUCUUCCCACUACAUUAAUUAUACAGUGUUACAUCCUUGAAACAGAAAUACCCCAGCUACCA